Chelonia mydas (Green sea turtle) is the source of this 4194-nucleotide long non-coding RNA. RefSeq lists it as uncharacterized. NCBI's taxonomy places the organism in Eukaryota, Metazoa, Chordata, Testudines, Cheloniidae. The record is from RefSeq and is a predicted model, not a curated record. The transcript has 2 exons.
CAGGCGCUGAAGCCUCACAUGUAAACACCUGGGCCAACAUGUGCAGAAGUGACCUUAUGAUCAUGUUUAUGACGUUAGUGCCUAGCGACCAGCCAAGAUCAGAGCCCUGUUGUGCCAGGCGCUGUAAAACCAAAAAGUAGGAGACAGUCCCUGCCCUGACAAGUUUACAGUCUAAAUAGAUGGGAUAGAUGAAGGGCGGGGAAAGGGUUAGAGCUCACGGCCGCGUGAACAAAGCAAUGAUGGCAAAUACCUGAGCGCCAUGGGGGUGGGGAGGUGAGUGAGGAGGGGAGUAGCUCAACGGGAAGACGGGACUGGAGUGGGUGAGGGGCUCAGGGCAGAAGAGGUGUGAGAGGACGGUAUCGGGGUCAGGUGUGGCAUGAGGCUGAGGGGAUGCGAUAAAGGCCUAAAGGGCAUUGCAGCAAACAGCCAAUCAGUCCAGGGGAGAGGAAGUCCAGUCAAAACUGCGGAAGGUAUGAUCAGGGUCUGUCAGUUCCUGCCUAAGCUGCUUCUGCCGCUGCUCUGCAGAUUCAGGGCUCGUCUGCACUCACAGAGCUGGCCCGGCACAGCUGCGCCACUGUAGCACUGCGUGAAGACACUACCUAUGCCAACGGGAGGGCUUCUCUUGUCAGCGUAGGGACUCCACCUCCCCCAGAGACGGUAGGUCCGUUGGCAGGAGACGCUCUCCCCGUCCCAUGGGCGUAGCACUGUCUGUACUGGGGGUUAGGUCAGUAGUUAUACCCACAUAAGUAGGGGGUGUAGACCAGGGCUCAGUCUCUGGCUAGCUCCUCCCCACAGUUCCUAACGACUAACGUAAUCACGUUGUUAAUGCCUCGCUUUCAAAGGGCGCAGCUCAAAGCAGCUAAGUCAUUUUUGUCAUAGACAUUCCCAAAUGGAAACAUCCCAGCAUGGUGUUCUGCACGCUCAGAGAGCCAGAGCUCACCUAACCCAUGCACUUUGUGUGGAGUCUCCCCGUGAGCGUAUUGUACCCGGGUUCAGGAAAAAAGUGAGACCCGAGAAAGCCAAUUUCCAAAACCAUCUGGUUUUGUUUCCAAAAUAUUUGUAAGUGCCUGACUCCCGCACAGCUCCCCACAGUGCAGGAAAUGCAAAGCCCUCCUACACUCUAGUUUGGAUCGUCUGGUGUUUUUACUGAAGCUAAAUAUUUAGCAGAUGUUUUUCUUCCUCAUUAAACACAAGUCUCUGACGCCACCUUAACUAUGGCUUUGCGACCACUCCACUCUCAGCGAAACUAGACACAGCACAGAUCAAUGAUUUAGGUCUGGAAAGAUGCCUGGUGAGCACAACAAGCUUAGAAGGGGUCAGCCAAGGAACUGGGAGAUGUGAAAGGAGAGGAGUUGUCCAAGAGAUGGUGAGAGAUUCAGACUGAGUCAAGCCCAGAGGGCUGUGAGGACCUGAGCUGGGUGCAUGGGCAGCACCAUGGAAGAUGCAGUUCAGUGCUGAUCCAUGAAAAGGAAUGCACGUUGGAAGGGAAAGUUUGAACUAUUCGUACACCUUCCUGGGCUCUAAAUUAACUGCAGCUGCUCAGCGAAGAGAUCUGGCAUUACUGGCAGCAGCUCAAUGACGACUCUUCAUAGCAUGUAACCAUGAUCCUAAAAGCCAACACAAUGGGAUGGAGACUAACAUGGAGAAUGUUCUAAGGUUAUAGGCAUUGAUGUUGCAGGCUCUUCUGUUAUAUGAUGUUCAGAUUUGGUUGCUUGGUCUCGAAGAGGAGACACAGAACUAGAGGUGGUUCAGACAUGGGCCCCGAGAAUGAUUAGGGGCAUGGAAAUAAAGCUUGAUCAGACCUGAAAUGUUUAGUGAGGAGAAGAUAUGCCACUCACAACCAGCCUGCAGGUCAUACCCUGAGUAUCUGUGUGCUAGACAGCUCUGGUUCAGCAACUCUGAUCCCAGCAGCCUGUCUACAGCCCCACUCUGGCUUCCACCUGUCUUCGUUACUAUUUGGUGACCCCAACAUAUUCCCAGUUCCAGAUUUUCCCCUCGACGUGCGUUCUGCCCUAGCCAGCCCUCUCCUGGAUAGGUCAGCUAGUAAGGUUCAUUGCCCCUGUAGGGUGUCAAUAUUCAACAAUUGGUUACUUGAAACUGAACUGUUUGGUAACUCCAGUUAUGCACAGCACUGGAUUAGUUUUUGAUUAAAAAUGAAACACAUUUAUUAACACAAGAUGAUAGGAUUGUAAGUGAAUUCAAGUAUAAGAGGUGAAGUUAGAAAGGGUUACAAGGGUAAGCAGAGUCUGAAUGAGCUCUCCCCAGACAUCUAGCGGUGAGCUGUGGAAAAGGACUUCAGGAGCUGAUCUCGUUUGCAUGGGGCGCUCAGCAUGAUGGGAUUGCUUGCCCAAAUGGUCACUUUUUGGCUGGUGUGAGAUCCCCAGUCUCCUUGCUGUUGGGGCAGGUGUAAUAUAGGGUUGUUAUCUUUGUUAUGGGAACCAAGGGCAGAAGAAUUAUACUUGGUGUUUCCCGAUUGAGGGACUCACCCUCAUCUAAAUGGCAGUUGCUAGGCAGGGGACAUGGGUUCUGAAGCCCAGUGAGUUGAGAGAGGGUAGGAGCUUGUACCUGGCUCUUGUGGCUGCUAACUCUGAGUGUCAGAAUGGUUACACAAGUAAAUAAAAGUGAUGGCCUUUCCCCGCCCCCCAGUCUUCCAACAAGAUGGUGACUGACCCUCUUCUCAGCCAGGAUCUCUCCCAGAGGCCCAAAGGUAUCGUCCUGGGUGAAAGAGUUGACUUGCGAUUCUCUGCUCCCUUUAUUUUUAUAGUUCAGUGAAACUUUGAAGUGGAUUCUUCUGAGGGUAACCUUCAAAGCCAAGUUUAUUCAAGCAGUGAGGAAGGCACAUGGAGUCUUGGGGUGAAGGAGGCCCUGUGCUCGGUGCACACAUGUUUCUAUGUUUGGGAUAGGCCUGUUUAAUAACUUUUGCCUAGGCAGGGCUGGGUGGGUUUUGAACAUGUGCUAAUAUCAUACAGGGGAAAUUCAUAACUUUACGCAUACUGUUGCUACGUACAUAUCACCACGAUGUCAUUGACCAGGGAAUUAUUCGUUUUCAGAUGCUCUCUCACAAGGCAUAUUUUGUACAAAGAUGAUUACACUAGCGUGCAGGGUGUGAAGAUGGGGGAGCUUUGGGUCACACCCUCAGUUCUUGCUGUCCCAGGACUACAUUAGACUCUGUAAUUUUCGCUUUUUUCAAACCUGGAUUCUCCUGCCCUAACCCCCAUGUCCUCGCUGCAGUGAUAACUCCCUGGGUCUCGAGACAGCUUGAAACAACCAUUCGGAGGGGACUGAUAUGCCUCAUGCUCUUCAGCAGGGUGUUAACGCCAAGGCCUAUCACUCUGGAUGUGCUACUCAAGCAGGCACACCCCAGUUGUUGGAGAAAAACUCUGCCAUCUCUUCACCAAGUAUAAAAACGCGCUUUAAUGCACGUCCCCUAGAAAGCCAUCGGACUUGAGUGUUGAAAAGCAGAACUUCAUAUUCACCACUCAUUUCAUUGCAGAGCUCUCAAAAGAGACGACUAUUCAGAGCAUCAGCUUUAACGUAGUUCACUGCUCAUAGAACAUCUACCACAGCGUUAAGGCAUAUCAGCAAUGUCUUUGACAAUAAUCAAGUUGCAGGCUGAACAUGCUAAAAGCAGAAUGUUUAAUUUCGUGCACAAUUUGUUUUUUGGUAUCUUCAUAUCUCAUGUAUUCUGCCUUUCACAGUGUCAUUAGGCAGGGAGAGCAUAUUCCGUUUUUUUGGCAGUAUCAUUGCCAACCAUGAGUGCCACAAUCUCCUUGCCUGCUGGCAGAAUAAGCUCCUCACCUCCUGCACGCGGCGCUUUGGUAUGGGCAGCUCAUCGUGACACAACGUAAGAGGUCUCCACAGCUGAGGACGUUGCUGUUGGAAACUUCCAACAGCAUCAGGCCCGGCCAUCUUUGUUGCUGCUUCUCUGCGUUUAAAAAAAUCCACGUUUCGAUUUUUAUGCUUGGGAUGUCUGGUUUCAAGAUGUCGCUCCCUGGUGUCAUUGAGUCUUCACAGCAAAUGACGCAUGGCGGUUUUUCAGUCCCAGAGCUGAUGACACUGGGAAAACCCAGUUUAAUGGAAGACUCGAGAUACUUUCAUUUUUUAGCAGUUUCAGCAGCACAAGUGGCCAUUAUUUUCAGGAGAAAGUUUGCACUUGUGUGACUGACUGUUAAUUAAUUAAGUACUUGUUCGGCU